RNAcentral lists this ribosomal RNA (498 nucleotides) under Cryptocarya sp. BB0020. RNAcentral describes it as "eukaryotic LSU rRNA". The stretch from base 5 to 160 matches the Rfam family "5.8S ribosomal RNA". Lineage: Eukaryota; Viridiplantae; Streptophyta; Magnoliopsida; Laurales; Lauraceae. The record is from RNAcentral.
AUACGACUCUCGGCAACGGAUAUCUCGGCUCUUGCAUCGAUGAAGAACGUAGCGAGAUGCGAUACGUGGUGUGAAUUGCAGAAUCCCGUGAACCAUCGAGUCUUUGAACGCAAGUUGCGCCCGAGGCCACUCGGCCGAGGGCACGCCUGCCUGGGCGUCACGCCCCCGAUCGCUCCCCCGCGGCAUGGCCUGCCCCGGGGAGGCGGAGACUGGCCGCCCGUGCGCCACUCGAAGGCGAGCGGUCGGCCCAAAUGCAGGUCGAAGUGCGGUGCGGCGCGACGCGUGGUGGUUUAGAGCCGCGAUCGAUCGCGAAUCGGACGCAGUGCCUAUGUCACGCCGCACCCGUGCGACCCGUGGGACGCAGCUUGCCAGUUUCGGAGGGCACUCGGACCGCGACCCCAGGUCAGGCGGGACCACCCGCUGAGUUUAAGCAUAUCAAUAAGCGGAGGAGAAGAAACUUACGAGGAUUCCCCUAGUAACGGCGAGCGAACCGGGAGG